AUGAACCACUUCGGUGGGGAUUAGUGGCGAACGGGUGAGUAACACGUGGGCAAUCUGCCCUGCACUCUGGGACAAGCCCUGGAAACGGGGUCUAAUACCGGAUACGAGUUCCACGGGCAUCCGUGGGACUGGAAAGCUCCGGCGGUGCAGGAUGAGCCCGCGGCCUAUCAGCUUGUUGGUGAGGUAAUGGCUCACCAAGGCGACGACGGGUAGCCGGCCUGAGAGGGCGACCGGCCACACUGGGACUGAGACACGGCCCAGACUCCUACGGGAGGCAGCAGUGGGGAAUAUUGCACAAUGGGCGCAAGCCUGAUGCAGCGACGCCGCGUGAGGGAUGACGGCCUUCGGGUUGUAAACCUCUUUCAGCAGGGAAGAAGCGAAAGUGACGGUACCUGCAGAAGAAGCGCCGGCUAACUACGUGCCAGCAGCCGCGGUAAUACGUAGGGCGCAAGCGUUGUCCGGAAUUAUUGGGCGUAAAGAGCUCGUAGGCGGCUUGUCGCGUCGGUUGUGAAAGCCCGGGGCUUAACCCCGGGUCUGCAGUCGAUACGGGCAGGCUAGAGUUCGGUAGGGGAGAUCGGAAUUCCUGGUGUAGCGGUGAAAUGCGCAGAUAUCAGGAGGAACACCGGUGGCGAAGGCGGAUCUCUGGGCCGAUACUGACGCUGAGGAGCGAAAGCGUGGGGAGCGAACAGGAUUAGAUACCCUGGUAGUCCACGCCGUAAACGGUGGGCACUAGGUGUGGGCAACAUUCCACGUUGUCCGUGCCGCAGCUAACGCAUUAAGUGCCCC
This 786-nucleotide ribosomal RNA is filed under the name Streptomyces sp. RNAcentral's name for it is "bacterial SSU rRNA". It matches the Rfam family "Bacterial small subunit ribosomal RNA", at positions 69 to 870 of the family's 1533-position model. The record is from RNAcentral. Lineage: Bacteria; Bacillati; Actinomycetota; Actinomycetes; Kitasatosporales; Streptomycetaceae.